This 497-nucleotide ribosomal RNA is filed under the name uncultured bacterium. RNAcentral's name for it is "bacterial SSU rRNA". It matches the Rfam family "Bacterial small subunit ribosomal RNA", at positions 40 to 518 of the family's 1533-position model. The record is from RNAcentral.
CGGCGUGCUUAACACAUGCAAGUCGAACGCGAACGGGGCUUCGGCCCCAAGUAGAGUGGCGCACGGUGAGUAACGCGUGGACAAUCUGCCCUUAUGACUGGAAUAACAGUUGGAAACGGCUGCUAAUACCGGAUACGCUCAGGAAGAACUUUUUUGAGGAAAGGCGGCCUCUACUUGCAAGCUGUCGCAUAAGGAUGAGUCCGCGUCCCAUUAGCUAGUUGGCGGGGUAACGGCCCACCAAGGCAACGAUGGGUAGCCGAUUUGAGAGGAUGAUCGGCCACACUGGGACUAAAACACGGCCCAGACUCCUACGGGAGGCAGCAGUGGGGAAUAUUGCGCAAUGGGCGAAAGCCUGACGCAGCGACGCCGCGUGAGGGAUGAAGGUUUUUCCGGAUCGUAAACCUCUGUCAGAAGGGAAGAAACUGCCGUGCUCUAAUCAUCAUGGCAUUGACGGUACCUUCAAAGGAAGCACCGGCUAACUCCGUGCCAGCAGCCGC